RNAcentral lists this ribosomal RNA (305 nucleotides) under uncultured bacterium. Its description in RNAcentral is "bacterial SSU rRNA". It matches the Rfam family "Bacterial small subunit ribosomal RNA", at positions 334 to 656 of the family's 1533-position model. The record is from RNAcentral.
UGCUUCUACGAGAGGCAGCAGUGGGGAAUAUUGCACAAUGGGGGAAACCCUGAUGCAGCGACGCCGCGUGAGCGAAGAAGUAUUUCGGUAUGUAAAGCUCUAUCAGCAGGGAAGAAAAUGACGGUACCUGACUAAGAAGCCCCGGCUAACUACGUGCCAGCAGCCGCGGUAAUACGUAGGGGGCAAGCGUUAUCCGGAUUUACUGGGUGUAAAGGGAGCGUAGACGGCGAUGCAAGUCUGAAGUGAAAGGCGGGGGCCCAACCCCCGGACUGCUUUGGAAACUGUAUAGCUGGAGUGCAGGAGAG